This 436-nucleotide long non-coding RNA is filed under the name Homo sapiens (human). RNAcentral's name for it is "non-protein coding lnc-TMTC3-5:18". The record is from RNAcentral. Lineage: Eukaryota; Metazoa; Chordata; Mammalia; Primates; Hominidae.
UGAGAAGAAAAGAAGCUUGCUCAAGGUCACAUAGAGCUGGAAUUUAAAUUCAGAUCUAUUAUACUCUUAAGGACUGUGGAAGGAGCAAAAUCUGAUCCAGAGACUGUGGAUGCUGGAGGAGCGUCAAGGCUGGGAAAGUAACAUGCACUGUGUUCGCAAUCAACAGAAAAGAUAUUUUUAAACAAAAACAAUUUUCCAAGUUUCCAGGAAGAGAAACAAAAGGCUUUUCUAAAAUGAAAGAAACUGUUCUUCUCAUUCUGUGACUUUUAUGUCACUUGGACAACAAGCCAGUGCUUAGGAACGGUUAUUUUCCUGUCGACAUCGCUGCAUGGAUACUUCUUAGAAGAACAUAACAGCAUUAGCACUCAGUCCCAGGUUCUGCUCACCCUCCAAUGGCAGUCGUCUUCAAAAACAAUAAAGAUAUCUGUGCUUGGUC